UUUUAAAGCAAUUAAGGGCACAUGGUGGAUGCCUAGGCUCUGAGAGGCGAUGAAGGACGUGGUAAGCUGCGAAAAGCCAGGGGGAACUGCACACAAGUAUUAUAUCCCUGGAUAUCCGAAUGGGACAACCCAGCAUGCUGAAGGCAUGUUACACCGUAAGGUGAGCCAACCCCGGGAACUGAAACAUCUAAGUACCGGGAGGAAAAGAAAACAAAUAGUGAUUCCCUGAGUAGUGGCGAGCGAAACGGGAAUAGCCUAAACUUAAGGAGCGUGCUCCUUGAGGGUUGUAGGGCUGCAUUUAGAAAGAGUCAUCAAGCGGAACCUUCUGGAAAGUGGGGCCAUAGAGCAUGAAAGCUGCGUACGCGUAAAUUGACUUGGACGAGCAGUACCCUGAGUAGGGCGGGACCGGAGAAAUCCUGCUUGAAUCUGCCAGCACCAUCUGGUAAGGCUAAAUACUCCUCAGAGACCGAUAGUGAACCAGUACCGUAAGGGAAAGGUGAAAAGCACCCUAAACAAGGGAGUGAAAUAGUACCUGAAACCGUGUGCCUACAAGCGGUCGGAGCCUAGUAAUGGGUGACGGCGUGCCUUUUGCAUAAUGAACCUACGAGUUACUCCUCACUGGCGAGGUUAAGUUCUUAAGUAACGGAGCCGUAGCGAAAGCGAGUCCGAACAGGGCGCUUAGUCAGUGGGGGUAGACGCGAAACUUUGUGAUCUAUCCAUGGGCAGGCUGAAGGUGUGGUAACACACGCUGGAGGGCCGAACGCGUAAACGUUGAAAAGUUUUGCGAUGACCUGUGGAUAGGGGUGAAAGGCCAAUCAAACUGAGAGAUAGCUCGUUCUCCCCGAAAUGUUUUUAGGAACAGCGUCACAUUUUAGAAGUUUAUGAGAGGUAGAGCUACUGAUUGGGCUAGGGGGCUUCACCGCCUACCAAACCCUGACAAACUCCGAAUGCUCAUAAAUAUCUGUGGCAGUGAGGCUGUGGGCGCUAAGGUCCAUGGCCGAGAGGGAAAUAACCCAGAAUAACAGCUAAGGUCCCUAAUACGUAGUUAAGUUGGUCAAACGAGGUGGAGUUUCUAUAACAGCCAGGAUGUUGGCUUGGAAGCAGCCAUUCAUUUAAAGAGUGCGUAACAGCUCACUGGUCGAGAGACUCUGCACGGAAAAUAAUCGGGCAUCAAACUACGAACCGAAGCUUUAUGUUGCACACUAUGUGUGUAUACGGUAGGGGAGCAUUGAAGCAGCGUCGAAGGUGAUGGGCGACCAUUGCUGGAGCGGCUUCAAAAGAAAAUGUAGGUAUAAGUAACGAUAAACAAGGUGAAAAACCUUGUCGCCGAAAGUCUAAGGGUUCCUGAUCAACGUUAAUCGGAUCAGGGUUAGUCGGGUCCUUAGGAGAACCCGAAAGGGGUAUCUGAUGGAAAACUGGUUAAUAUUCCAGUACCCGCAUUAGUUUCGAUGGGGUGACGCAGUAUUGAAAGUUCCUCGCACUUACGGAAUAGUGCGAUUAAGGUUGUAGCUAUUUGUUUUCCAGGUAAAUCCGGAAGAUAAGGCAAAGACUGAAAGUACACCAAGGCUUCGGCUGCGGUGAGUGAACCUAAAAGCUGCCGAGAAAAACCUCUAAGGUUAGGCUAAUGCGGCCCGUACCGCAAACCGACACAGGUAGACGGGAAGAAUAUUCUCAGGCGCUCGGGUGAGCCGUGGAGAAGGAACUAGGCAAAUUGACGCUGUAACUUCGGGAUAAAGCGUCCCUACUUCGGUAGGGCACAGUAAAAUGGUUCAACCAACUGUUUAACAAAAACACAGGGCUCUGCAAAAUCGCAAGAUGACGUAUAGGGCCUGAUACCUGCCCGGUGCUGGAAGGUUAAGGAAGGAUGUUCGGGGUAACCCAAAGCUUCUGACUGAAGCCCCAGUAAACGGCGGCCGUAACUAUAACGGUCCUAAGGUAGCGAAAUUCCUUGUCGGGUAAGUUCCGACCUGCACGAAUGGUCUAAUGAGUUGAACACUGUCUCCUCCACGAGCCCGGUGAAAUUGUAGUAUCGGUGAAGAUGCCGGUUACCCGCCACGGGACGGAAAGACCCCGUGAACCUUCACUACAACUUUGCAUUGAUUUUGAACAACCGAUGUGUAGGAUAGUUGGGAGACUGUGAAGUGGCCUCGCCAGGGGUCAUGGAGUCAUCGUUGAAAUACCAACCUUCGUUUGUUUAGAGUCUAAUCCCUUACGGGAAACAGUGCAUGGUGGGUAGUUUGACUGGGGUGGUCGCCUCCUAAAAAGUAACGGAGGCUUGCAAAGGUUCCCUCAGUACGGUUGGUAAUCGUACGUAGAGCGCAUCAGUAUAAGGGAGCUUGACUGUGAGACAGACGCGUCGAGCAGGGGCGAAAGCCGGCUGAAGUGAUCCGGUGGUUCUGUAUGGAAGGGCCAUCGCUCAAAGGAUAAAAGGUACUCCGGGGAUAACAGGCUGAUCUCCCCCAAGAGCUCAUAUCGACGGGGAGGUUUGGCACCUCGAUGUCGGUUCGUCACAUCCUGGGGCUGGAGAAGGUCCCAAGGGUUCGGCUGUUCGCCGAUUAAAGUGGCACGUGAACUGGGUUCAGAACGUCGCAAGACAGUUCGGUCCCUAUCUGUGGUGGGCGCAAGUAAAUUGAGAGGACAUGACCUUAGUACGAGAGGACCGGGUCGUACGUACCGCUGGUGUAUCUGUUGUGCCGCCAGGUGCAGCGCAGAGUAGCUAUGUACGGACAGGAUAAACGCUGAAAGCAUCUAAGCGUGAAACCUUCCUCAAGAUGAGUUUACUUUUAAGGGUCGUCAGAGACGAUGACGUUGAUAGGCUACAGGUGUAAAGCUGGUGACAGCAAAGCCGAGUAGUACUAAUUGCCCGUACGCUUUAAUUUUUAUUUAUU
This 2888-nucleotide ribosomal RNA is filed under the name Flaviaestuariibacter flavus. Its description in RNAcentral is "Flaviaesturariibacter sp. 17J68-12 23S ribosomal RNA". It matches the Rfam family "Bacterial large subunit ribosomal RNA". The record is from RNAcentral. Lineage: Bacteria; Pseudomonadati; Bacteroidota; Chitinophagia; Chitinophagales; Chitinophagaceae.